CCUACGGGAGGCAGCAGUGAGGAAUAUUGGUCAAUGGCCGAGAGGCUGAACCAGCCAAGUCGCGUGAGGGAAGAAUGUCCUAUGGAUUGUAAACCUCUUUUGUCAGGGAGCAAAGUCACCCACGUGUGGGUGUUGGAGAGUACCUGACGAAAACGCAUCGGCUAACUCCGUGCCAGCCGCCGCGGUAAUACGUAGGAUGCGAGCGUUAUCCGGAUUUAUUGGGUUUAUAGGGUGCGUAGGCGGGUUAUCACGUAAGCGGUAAAAGCGUGGAGCUCAACUCCAUCCAGCCGUUGAAACUGAUGAACUUGAGUGGGCGAGAAGUAUGCGGAAUGCGUGGUGUAGCGGUGAAAUGCAUAGAUAUCACGCAGAACUCCGAUUGCGAAGGCAGCAUACCGGCGCCCGACUGACGCUGAAGCACGAAAGCGUGGGUAUCGAACAGGAUUAGAUACCCUGGUAGUC
RNAcentral lists this ribosomal RNA (459 nucleotides) under uncultured bacterium. RNAcentral's name for it is "partial 16S ribosomal RNA". It matches the Rfam family "Bacterial small subunit ribosomal RNA", at positions 338 to 795 of the family's 1533-position model. The record is from RNAcentral.